This is a long non-coding RNA of Nanorana parkeri, 309 nucleotides long. RefSeq lists it as uncharacterized. Lineage: Eukaryota; Metazoa; Chordata; Amphibia; Anura; Dicroglossidae. The record is from RefSeq and is a predicted model, not a curated record. The transcript is spliced from 3 exons.
AUAAUUGCUGUAAAGUAUAAAGAUUAUACAGUGAUGAAAGCAUCAUGAUGCUAUCAGGAAUGGGAUUGGAGAUGGGUCUGCUUACAAGCCACUGACUGCAGAAAGCAAGCAUUCGCUAGUGUUUACCGAUUUGAAAUCCAUGUUUAUUUACUGAGAGGAGAACAAUCUUGCUCUGGAAUUUUGCCUACGAGAACAGACUAAUACAGUACACACAUUUAUUGGUGACAAUAAAAGUCAAAUCUAAUCAAGGAAGUUGAAGAAAACACACGGAACACAAAACUGUAUCUGCCGGGGAGUUGAUGUUGCUAA